ACUCAAAUGAAUUGACGGGGGCCCGCACAAGCGGUGGAGCAUGUGGUUUAAUUCGACGCAACGCGAAGAACCUUACCAGGGCUUGACAUCCUCAGGAUCUGAUAGAAAUAUCGGAGUGCCCUUUUGGGAACUGAGAGACAGGUGGUGCAUGGUUGUCGUCAGCUCGUGUCGUGAGAUGUUGGGUUAAGUCCCGCAACGAGCGCAACCCCUAUAUUUAGUUGCUAGCAGGAGAGCUGAGCACUCUAGAUAGACUGCCGGUGACAAACCGGAGGAAGGUGGGGAUGACGUCAAAUCAUCAUGCCCCUUAUGUUCUGGGCUACACACGUGCUACAAUGGCCGGUACAGACGGCAGCGAAGCCGCGAGGUGGAGCAAAUCUGAGAAAGCCGGUCUCAGUUCGGAUUGCAGGCUGCAACUCGCCUGCAUGAAGUCGGAAUCGCUAGUAAUCGCAGGUCAGCAUACUGCGGUGAAUACGUUCCCGGGCCUUGUACACACCGCCCGU
RNAcentral lists this ribosomal RNA (500 nucleotides) under uncultured bacterium. RNAcentral's name for it is "bacterial SSU rRNA". It matches the Rfam family "Bacterial small subunit ribosomal RNA", at positions 899 to 1397 of the family's 1533-position model. The record is from RNAcentral.